AUUACCUGGUAGUGAGUUAGAAAUGCAGAGCCCCGGGCUUCUCAGCAAACCUACUGGAUCUGCAUUUUAAUUCACAUGCAUGGUAAU
Molecule: non-coding RNA, 87 nt
Organism: Macaca mulatta (Rhesus monkey)
Lineage: Eukaryota; Metazoa; Chordata; Mammalia; Primates; Cercopithecidae
Source: Rfam